CAGAAUAUCCAAUUGAAGUGUCCGAAUCCAUAAAAGAAAAAAGGACUUAACAAGCUUAAGCACUCGAGUAACCAAAAAAACAAGACAAAAACCUCUUGAUGAUCACCAUUUUCUUUGAGGCUCUCUCUACGGCUUCCAAGUUGACCAAGGAUGCAAAGAUCAUCUGCCUUUGUUUGCUUAGAAUGAAUCCUUAACGUCAGUGUCUAAAACCUCUCAUUUCAAGUGCUAUAUAUCAAGGGUUUGGAAACUUUGGGCAAUUCAAAUAUGUAUUCUGAAUAUGGCUCCUCUAGGUAUCAAAACUUACUUCAUGAGUCCGGAAAACAGUGGUGAAAGCAUUUAGCUCCAUCCAUCGCAUGAGCAACUCUUCACUUCGGUGGUACUUAAUAAAAGGUACAAGGAAUACCUGCAACCAAAAGGCUGAAACAGGAACCUUAUGAUCCUUCAAUUCAUCCCAAACACGGCGUACAGCUUCUGUACCACCUUGCAUUCCAACAACAGCCCCGGAUACAAUCCACUUAGGAAGCUCAGGAGGUCUCCCGAUAGUUUCUGUGAAGUUUUCAAUAAUCUCAGAAGGUGAGUUGCCAUUCAAUAUUCUUCCUCGAACUGAAUUGCUCUGAAUCUGCAAGCUCCAAUAUACAGAAAAUAGGAAACUGCAAGUUUAAACCCUGAAUGAGUAUGUUCAGUACUUGAAAUAUUUUCCUCUCCAUUUAAAUUUUGAUUGUUUUAUUCAAGUGCAACUUAAGUUUGUAAAGGAAACUUUUUAUUCAAUGAAAAUUUCUGUUAACUGUGUA
This is a long non-coding RNA of Populus nigra (black poplar), 791 nucleotides long. RefSeq lists it as uncharacterized. The record is from RefSeq and is a predicted model, not a curated record. Lineage: Eukaryota; Viridiplantae; Streptophyta; Magnoliopsida; Malpighiales; Salicaceae. The transcript has 4 exons.